UAGUUGGUGAGGUAACGGCUCACCAAGGCGACGAUGCGUAGCCNACCUGAGAGGGUGAUCGGCCACACUGGGACUGAGACACGGCCCAGACUCCUACGGGAGGCAGCAGUAGGGAAUCUUCCGCAAUGGACGAAAGUCUGACGGAGCAACGCCGCGUGAGUGAUGAAGGUUUUCGGAUCGUAAAACUCUGUUGUCAGGGAAGAACAAGUACCGGAGUAACUGCCGGUACCUUGACGGUACCUGACCAGAAAGCCACGGCUANAUACGUGCCAGCAGCCGCGGUAAUACGUAGGUGGCAAGCGUUGUCCGGAAUUAUUGGGCGUAAAGCGCGCGCAGGCGGUUCCUUAAGUCUGAUGUGAAAGCCCCCGGCUCAACCGGGGAGGGUCAUUGGAAACUGGGGAACUUGAGUGCAGAANAGAAGAGUGGAAUUCCACGUGUAGCGNUGAAAUGCGUANAGAUGUGGAGGAACACCAGUGGCGAANGCGACUCUUUGGUCUGUAACUGACGCUNAGGCGCGAAAGCGUGGGGAGCAACAGGAUUAGAUACCCUGGUAGUCCNCGCCNUAAACNAUGAGUGCUAANUGUUAGAGGGUUUCC
RNAcentral lists this ribosomal RNA (596 nucleotides) under marine bacterium SIMO-1640. RNAcentral's name for it is "bacterial SSU rRNA". It matches the Rfam family "Bacterial small subunit ribosomal RNA", at positions 246 to 835 of the family's 1533-position model. The record is from RNAcentral.